UACGUAGGGGGCGAGCGUUGUCCGGAUUCAUUGGGCGUAAAGAGCUCGUAGGCGGCUUGGCAAGUCGGUCGUGAAAUACCGAGGCUCAACCUCGGAACGCCGAUCGAAACUGCCAUGGCUAGGGUCCGGUAGAGGAGAGUGGAAUUCCCGGUGUAGCGGUGAAAUGCGCAGAUAUCGGGAGGAACACCAGUAGCGAAGGCGGCUCUCUGGGCCGGUACCGACGCUGAGGAGCGAAAGCGUGGGGAGCAAACAGG
This 254-nucleotide ribosomal RNA is filed under the name uncultured bacterium. RNAcentral describes it as "partial 16S ribosomal RNA". It matches the Rfam family "Bacterial small subunit ribosomal RNA", at positions 524 to 776 of the family's 1533-position model. The record is from RNAcentral.